Long non-coding RNA from Eucalyptus grandis, 1485 nucleotides. RefSeq lists it as uncharacterized. The record is from RefSeq and is a predicted model, not a curated record. The transcript is spliced from 3 exons. Lineage: Eukaryota; Viridiplantae; Streptophyta; Magnoliopsida; Myrtales; Myrtaceae.
GAACAGAAAGAAGGCAAAGCAACAGCAGCAAGCAAGGGAGAAAAAGAAAAAGGAGAUUUCUGACAUGCGCUUUGUGCGUGUCCACGGCCCGGUGUAGAGCCCCUUGGAGGUGAACUUCCUGGGUUGGCUUAUUUCAUCCAAAGGAUUGUCAGGCUAUUGGGAUAUUGUUUGGAGCAUGAAGAACUACUUGCCCAUGAGUUCUUGCCAAAGGGUACCCUAAAGAGCCAUCUCCUUGGAAGCAAGGGGGCUUGGCCAUUAAACCAAUUCCAUGGUCACACUGCUUAGCUUAAAAUUGCAAUAGGAGCAGCCAAAGUCCUCGCAUUCUUGCACCAGUUAGGCAAAUAAUCUGCAGAGAUUUCAUGCCCUCAAACAUAUUGCUGGACUCAGUAAGGUCUCAUGUUCGUUACUUAGAUUAAAUGAAGCACUACCACAUUGUGUUACCUUUAAAAUUUGGUUUUAAAAAUCUUCUCCUGCGCUGAAAUAAUUCACAUAUUUGCAAGAUCCCUCUUUUUGCAAUCCCUCUUGCCAUUUUGGAAGCAGCAAGAAUUGGAAACCUUUAUACUUUCAGGUUAAGUUUUCACAGAAAAUAUGGGAGUUAUCAUUGGAAAACAUCUUCAAAACCUGCUUCGCCAGCUAUGUAUCUUUUCCUAAUUUUUUGGUCGAGGGGCUUUGUUGUUAUGGUCUUUUAAAAUUGCAUUUUCCCAAGCUACUCUUUUCAUAGUUAAUUUAUGAUACCAAUCACUGGCCUGAGCUAAGCUCAUUAAAUCUGCAUUGUCCAGGUUCACUAGUGUAUAGAUCACACUAGCAGUAGAAAGAGACUUUGUCCUUUUCUUUGGCAUGUGUGUCGACAGUCCUUUAAUGCUAAAAUAUCAGAUUUUGGGUUAGCAAUAAAGGGUCCAAACAAAGACAUAUCACAUGCGACGACACAGGUUAUUGGAACUUAUCGUUUUGCAAGACCCGACUAUAUAGCCACAAGUAAUAUGAUGGGCUUUCUGAAUUGCUUAGGGUGAUCAUAGCGGAGAGCAUUGGACUUUGGACUUAGUUCGGCCGUGCCUGGUGCCAUGUUUAGCAAAAUCAUUAGAGUAUCACAUCAUUUUGUUUGAAUAGGUCAUUUGUUUGUGAAGAGCAAUGACUAUAGCUUUGGGAUGGUACUGGUUGAGUUUUUGGCUGAAAUGCGAGCAUAUGAUGCAAAUCAUCAAAUUGAUCAGCAGAUUUUGGCAAAUUAGGUCAAGCCUCAUUUUUCUAAAAGGUAAUUGACAAGAAUCAUGGACUCUCUUUUGAAAGGGCUAUAUCCUCUGAAAGAUGCUCUUGACAUAGCCGCACUCACAUUCCAAUGUCUCAGUAUUGUCCAAGCACCAGCCAUCGAUGAAUGAAGGUCAUGGAAACCCUAGAAAGAAUUAGUUGCGGUUGAUAGAAAACACUGUUUCUUAUACGAUUGAUCCCAACUGGGGCUAUCUUUCUUCAGACGCGAUUAGUAAAUUCUAU